Long non-coding RNA from Branchiostoma floridae (Florida lancelet), 663 nucleotides. RefSeq lists it as uncharacterized. Lineage: Eukaryota; Metazoa; Chordata; Leptocardii; Amphioxiformes; Branchiostomatidae. The record is from RefSeq and is a predicted model, not a curated record. The transcript has 5 exons.
GUAUGUUUUAAGUGUGUGUUGUGUUAAGUGUUAAGUAAGUGUCAUGUGUGUGUGUGUGUGUCCAUUUCCAUGUCGACAUUUGCAUUUCACAUGAUCAUAGUAAUUGUUAUGACAGUAGAAAAUGAUUCUCAACUGUGGAUGUAUUUGUUAGUCAUACCCAUCAUUCAUGACAUUUAACAAACUACCAUCCAAUGUAGUUCUACUUCUAACUGGACACAUGAUGAGCAUGUCAAUUUUGAUAACACUUUUGAUGCUAAACCCCGGCCAUAUAGGAAGCAAUAUUGGAGGAGGAGGAGAAAAACAAAGACGAACAAAGUUCAAAGAAGGAAAGGUACAUCACAAUCUCUCUACGACUCCUGGCUAACGUUCUGGUUACCAUUUUACUGGCCGGAUCUGGGUAUGCCAUCCAGCUAGUGGUGGAACGGUCCGAGCAGUUUGAAAAAAUGGACCCUUCCAAGCUGUCAUGGUGGGAACAAAAUGAGGUUUCCAUGGUAGUGUCAAUCAUCACCAUGGUGUUCCCUGUGUUCUUCGACCUGAUUGGCGAGAUGGAAAAGUACCAUCCACGUGUCAUGUUACGGUGGUCACUGGCAAGGGUAAUGGUCCUGAAUCUUGGCAAUCUCUACACACUGAUGAUUGCACUCUUCAAGAAGGUCAACAACCUGG